AACGAACGCUGGCGGCAUGCCUAACACAUGCAAGUCGAACGAGACCUUCGGGUUUAGUGGCGCACGGGUGCGUAACGCGUGGGAACCUGCCCUUAGGUUAGGAAUAACUCCCCGAAAGGGGUGCUAAUACCGGAUAAUGUCUUCGGACCAAAGAUCUAUCGCCUUUGGAUGGGCCCGCGUUGGAUUAGCUAGUUGGUAGGGUAAAAGCCUACCAAGGCGACGAUCCAUAGCUGGUCUGAGAGGAUGAUCAGCCACACUGGGACUGAGACACGGCCCAGACUCCUACGGGAGGCAGCAGUGGGGAAUAUUGGACAAUGGGCGAAAGCCUGAUCCAGCAAUGCCGGGUGAGAGAUGAAGGCCUUAGGGUUGUAAAGCUCUUUUACCCGGGGUGAUAAUGACGGUACCGGGAGAAUAAGCUCCGGCUAACUCCGUG
Molecule: ribosomal RNA, 433 nt
Filed under: uncultured bacterium
Lineage: Bacteria
Description: partial 16S ribosomal RNA
Rfam family: Bacterial small subunit ribosomal RNA
Source: RNAcentral